CAUUCAAACACUUCAAUUUGUGGACAAGUCACCAGUAAUGCAGACAAGCUGCCAAUAAUGUGGUCGAGUCACCAGUAAUGCAGAUAAACUGCCAGUAGUGCAAACAAGCUUCCAGUAUUGUAAAUAAACAACUAGUAAUGUAGUCAAGCCACCAGUAGUGCAGAUAAACUGGUGCAAAGAAGCUGUCAGUAUUGUAGAUAAAAUGCCAGUACUUUCUCCUUACACAUGUCCCACCCCAUGCAUGUGAUAUAGCCACAUAAACAUAUUUUCACUUGAUACAAAAUUUCACUUUUAGGCAUGUGGAUCAUGCUUAUUCAAU
This 319-nucleotide long non-coding RNA is filed under the name Gossypium barbadense (sea-island cotton). Its description in RNAcentral is "long non-coding RNA (GBAR_LNC001753)". Lineage: Eukaryota; Viridiplantae; Streptophyta; Magnoliopsida; Malvales; Malvaceae. The record is from RNAcentral.